CCACCCAACCAAGCUCUUAUGCUGAAUCACAGCCAUUGUGACAAGGCAUCAUUAAUCAUCAGGUCCUUUUGCCAGGAGCUCCCAUGUCAUGGGCACUUGUCUCUGUAUAUAAAAGGAGUGAUGGGUGGGCUGCUUUGAAUGAAGGGACCUGGGGUGGGGGAGGGGGGCAGCAGAUAGAUCCCUGCUGCUGGCCAGAAUUGGGAAAUAUAAGAAGAUGAUGCAGUCCUGUAGAUAUAAGUGUUCAGCGUGCCAUCUGAAGGAUUUACUACAGAGACAGAAAGCAAAGAAGUUAUGGAAGAAAAAGAUCAGGAAGACAAGUCAGCAGCAUAUGCCAAUGAUCUGGUUGAAGACACUGCUCGAACCCAUGACUUUCGGCGUCACAGUUUUUCCCAUGGCCAGCAAUAAGAAAAGCCUCUUUUGGUGCGGGCCCCAGAACACCAUAAUCAUCUUCGAUUUUACCUCUCCGCCCAGGGUCUUUUAAGUAAAAUUUCUCUCCUUUCACUGACAAA
Molecule: long non-coding RNA, 509 nt
Organism: Prionailurus viverrinus (fishing cat)
Lineage: Eukaryota; Metazoa; Chordata; Mammalia; Carnivora; Felidae
Exons: 2
Source: RefSeq, a predicted model, not a curated record